AUUGGAUUGAGAACAAUGUACAACUCUUAUCGAUAAGCCAUUGGAGGGCAAGUCUGGUGCCAGCAGCCGCGGUAAUUCCAGCUCCAAUAGCGUAUAUUAACGUUGUUGCAGUUAAAAAGCUCGUAGUUGAAGUGUGGGUGAUCGCUGUUGUGAGACUUCGGUCUCUCGACAGUAAGUCACCCCCUUCCAGUAUCCAGUAGUGGGUAUUCAGUUACUUACUAUUGUGUGUUGGUCCUUUACUGUGAGAAAAUUAGAGUGUUCAAAGCAGGCGUUUGCUUGAAUAGAUUAGCAUGGAAUAAUAAUUGAAGGCUUUCGUGUUCGAUUUGAUUGGUUUGUUCAUGGAAGCAAGGUUAAAAGGAACAGUUGGGGGUAU
RNAcentral lists this ribosomal RNA (373 nucleotides) under Blastocystis sp. A5. RNAcentral describes it as "SSU rRNA". It matches the Rfam family "Eukaryotic small subunit ribosomal RNA", at positions 508 to 891 of the family's 1831-position model. The record is from RNAcentral. Lineage: Eukaryota; Bigyra; Opalinata; Blastocystidae.